Molecule: ribosomal RNA, 500 nt
Filed under: uncultured bacterium
Lineage: Bacteria
Description: bacterial SSU rRNA
Rfam family: Bacterial small subunit ribosomal RNA
Source: RNAcentral
AUUGAACGCUGGCGGCAUGCCUUACACAUGCAAGUCGAACGGUAACAGCACUUCGGUGGCUGACGAGUGGCGAACGGGUGAGUAAUAUAUCGGAACGUGCCCAGUAGUGGGGGAUAGCCCGGCGAAAGCCGGAUUAAUACCGCAUACGACCUGAGGGUGAAAGCGGGGGAUCGCAAGACCUCGCGCUAUUGGAGCGGCCGAUAUCAGAUUAGCUAGUUGGUGGGGUAAAGGCCUACCAAGGCUACGAUCUGUAGUUGGUCUGAGAGGACGACCAGCCACACUGGGACUGAGACACGGCCCAGACUCCUACGGGAGGCAGCAGUGGGGAAUUUUGGACAAUGGGCGCAAGCCUGAUCCAGCAAUGCCGCGUGCAGGAAGAAGGCCUUCGGUUGUAACUGCUUUUGUUCAGGAAGGAAAUACUUCUGGGCUAAUACCCGGACGGAUGACGGUACCUGAAGAAUAAGCACCGGCUAACUACGUGCCAGCAGCCGCGGUAAUCU